RNAcentral lists this long non-coding RNA (444 nucleotides) under Rattus norvegicus (Norway rat). Its description in RNAcentral is "long non-coding RNA NONRATT020650". The record is from RNAcentral. Lineage: Eukaryota; Metazoa; Chordata; Mammalia; Rodentia; Muridae.
CCCCAAAAGGCCACAGACCCUGGGCUAAGCCCUGCAGCCAGGACUAACAGGCCAUAAAGAUAAAGGAGCACAGGAAACACUGUCCAGACAGGACUGGCAAGCCAUAAAGAAAAGGAAUGCAGGAACCAGCCUGAGUUAAUGGGACUGAUUCAUGGGACGUCUGGCAGGAAGACAUCUCCCCCCAGCUCACUCAGGGCCAUAUUUCAACUAGGUGUCCUCCAGACCCUGAUAAGCCCCUGACUUCUAGCACGUACUCUUUCUGCUUUGUUCUCACUGCUAUGUUUGAAUGAGCCAAUUGUAUGUAACCCCUAGCCUUCUCUAUAUAACCCUCUGACUUUUGAGUUUCGUGGUCGACACCUCUGUCUCCUGCGUGGGAUACGUGUCGGCCCGGAGAUCUCUGUAAUAGGUCUCCGUAAUAAACCUCGCCUUUGCUUAUUACAUCCA